Molecule: long non-coding RNA, 747 nt
Organism: Penaeus monodon (black tiger shrimp)
Lineage: Eukaryota; Metazoa; Arthropoda; Malacostraca; Decapoda; Penaeidae
Exons: 5
Source: RefSeq, a predicted model, not a curated record
CUCAUUCUCCUCGAUUAUUUGUUUUCCUCUCUUUCUUUGCACGAAUUAAAAGCAAAUCUGAAGUGAUUGUGUGCUUGAGACUGAAAAAAAAGUUUGUUUACAAAGCGCAGUUGAAGCUGUGUCUUGGUUGGGUCGAGGCGUCUCCAUAAGUAACAGUUCUUGGAUACUUGACCUCUCCUGAGUCUUGACAUCAUCUGAUCACGUGACCUGAGAGCAAGAUGGCGAAGCGACUUGAUGACGUCAUGACCCGCCUGGGGACCGGCCGCUGGAAUCUCUUGCACAUCAUCUCCCUCUCUUACUGCUUCUCCCUCAUCGCGUACCACAGCAUGGCCGGCGCCUUCCUCGCCCCCGAGUGGACUACGCCUGCCGUCGGCCCGAGGGCGCCCAUGACGCGGCCGCUGACGGUGCUACCUCGUCCGCUCUCAUCCCUAAGGGCGACGGCGCUGUGGAGGAAACUAAACCCGAGUGCAGUUACUUCGUGCUGAACUCGUCCUCAGGGCAGUUCGAGGAGGAGCAGUGCCUCGAGUGGGACUUCGACAACUCCACCUUCAGCUCUACUGUUGGUACUGAGCAUUUAGUUCCAGCUCGCCUGCGGCUGGGAGUACCUGCGCUCGACGUACCAGAGCAUCUACAUGUUCGGCGUCACGAUCGGGGCGCCGUUCAACGGGGUUCUGGCCGACAGGUAAGCGGUUCGCGUUCGGAACUGCCAGGUGGGCGGUUCUGGGCCUUUGCUCGUUGGGAUGGGUA